UCACAGUUUGUUCAUUGGUCACAAAUCAAAAAAUUAAUUAGUCACACCUUAUCAAUUUAUUGGUCACAGCUUAUUUUUUGGUCACAGAUCGAAAAUUUUAUAGGUCACAUAUUAUUUUUAGGUCACGAAUUAAAAAUUUUAUAGAUCACAUAUAACAAACAUUAUAGGUCACAAAUUAUAAAUUUUUUAAGUUACACAUUAUUUUUUUGUCACAAUUUAUCUUUUUCAUUGAUCACAUAUUGUUUACUGGUCACAUAUUAACCAAUUUAAUGGUCACAAUCAACCAAAUAAUCUGCGCCCACCACCACCACUUGUUGACAACCACUUUUAUUGGUCACAACUCAUUCAUUCAUUUCAAAUUAUUAGAUUAAUUGGUUACGAUUAAUUUUUUGGUCACAACUUAAUCGAUUGUGAAUAACAGUCACGAUUUUCAGGUCACGUAUCCAAUUGUGAGUCACAAAUACGAGUCACAGACACAGUCACAAUCACAAUUUUCAUUGAAAUCAUCGUCGCCGCCACACGCCAACACCACAAUUGCAAGUCACAGUCCACAACCACCGCAACCGCCCCAAAUCAUCGUCACCACACACCAACGCCACAAUUGGGAGUCACAGUCCACAAGCAUCGCAACCGUCCCAAAUCAUCGCUGCCACCGUCGUCGCCACACACCAAUACCACAGAUCCACAACAUAUCCACGAUCUGCAGCGCAAAUCACCACCAUGUUAAUAGAAACCAAUCACCAAAACAAUGAAAAACAAACCACCAGAUCGCGUCACCCAUGCCAUCCCGACACCACCACCAGCCCUGCAUCACUACGACAUCACAGUCACAAUCUCCACCCAAAAAAAUCCCCAAAGUCGUGGCUAUAUGCACCUCUAGCAAUACCACCACCUUGCCAAAUUACUGCACGACAACCAAAAGACACCACCAAUGGCAAAAAAACCACUUGCAACCACCACGAUCUGCAACGAUCUGAGAACAGCGGUCGAGCACAACGUCCAUUUA
Molecule: long non-coding RNA, 1006 nt
Filed under: Olea europaea (common olive)
Lineage: Eukaryota; Viridiplantae; Streptophyta; Magnoliopsida; Lamiales; Oleaceae
Description: long non-coding RNA (OEUR_LNC006285)
Source: RNAcentral